Molecule: ribosomal RNA, 634 nt
Filed under: fungal endophyte
Lineage: Eukaryota; Fungi
Description: eukaryotic LSU rRNA
Rfam family: 5.8S ribosomal RNA (bases 179-332)
Source: RNAcentral
AGGUGACCUGCGGAGGGAUCAUUACCGAGUGAGGGCCACCCCCUGGGUGGCCCGACCUCCCACCCCAUGUUAUCCGACCCUGUUGCCUCGGGGGCGACCCGGCCUUCGGGCGUCGGGGCCCCCGGUGGACCACACAACCCUGCAUCGUGGCGUCCGAGUGAGAUAUUGAAUCAAUCAAAACUUUCAACAACGGAUCUCUUGGUUCUGGCAUCGAUGAAGAACGCAGCGAAAUGCGAUAAGUAAUGUGAAUUGCAGAAUUCAGUGAAUCAUCGAAUCUUUGAACGCACAUUGCGCCCCUUGGUAUUCCGGGGGGCAUGCCUGUUCGAGCGUCAUGACAACCCUCAAGCCUAGCUUGGUAUUGGACGGCCGCGGACCCCCCGGGGGCCGCGCGUCCCAAUGUCUCCGGCCGAGCCGUCCGUCUCCGAGCGUUGUGAUCUAACGAUUCGCUUAGGAGCCCGGGCGGCGCGACGCCGUCAAAACCCCUUCUAUCAGGUUGACCUCGGAUCAGGUAGGGAUACCCGCUGAACUUAAGCAUAUCAAUAAGCGGAGGAAAAGAAACCAACAGGGAUUGCCCUAGUAACGGCGAGUGAAGCGGCAACAGCUCAAAUUUGAAAUCUGGCGCAAGCCCGAGUUG